This 336-nucleotide unclassified non-coding RNA is filed under the name Prismatomeris sp. be14. RNAcentral describes it as "partial external transcribed spacer". The record is from RNAcentral. Lineage: Eukaryota; Viridiplantae; Streptophyta; Magnoliopsida; Gentianales; Rubiaceae.
UCUUCCGCUUCAUCGUUGGCACGAGAGCGACUUUCGCCUCGGCCGUGCUCAUCGGUUUCCUGUGUUGCAUACCAACGUCGAUGGAAUUCGCAAGCCAAUUCUUCCCUCGUUCGCCUAGCGCUUCCCGCUUGCGCGGUGCGGCUUUCGGGCGAACCUCGAAGCGAAACCCGUACUCCUCGUCGCUCGCGCACGGCGUCGUCGUCGAGGCGCACGGGUUCUCGUUUGACCUCCGGGAUGCGGAAAACGUCGGGGGCACGGGGUCUUGCACCUCUAUUCGCCCACAAAUUGGCCUCACACGCCACAUUCGAACGACAUUCGGCGUCGCACUGACGACCA